UACGGAGGGAGCUAGCGUUGUUCGGAAUUACUGGGCGUAAAGCGCACGUAGGCGGGUUGUUAAGUCAGGGGUGAAAUCCCGGAGCUCAACUCCGGAACUGCCUUUGAUACUGGCAAUCUAGAGACUGGAAGAGGUUAGUGGAAUUCCCAGUGUAGAGGUGAAAUUCGUAGAUAUUGGGAAGAACACCAGUGGCGAAGGCGGCUAACUGGUCCAGUACUGACGCUGAGGUGCGAAAGCGUGGGGAGCAAAC
Molecule: ribosomal RNA, 250 nt
Filed under: uncultured bacterium
Lineage: Bacteria
Description: partial 16S ribosomal RNA
Rfam family: Bacterial small subunit ribosomal RNA
Source: RNAcentral